CCUACGGGUGGCAGCAGUGGGGAAUAUUGCGCAAUGGGCGAAAGCCUGACGCAGCGACGCCGCGUGAGGGAUGAAGGUCUUCGGAUUGUAAAGUUCUUUAAUUGGGGACGAAAAAAAUGACGGUACCCAAGGAAUAAGCCCCGGCUAACUACGUGCCAGCAGCCGCGGUAAUACGUAGGGGGCAAGCGUUGUUCGGAAUGACUGGGCGUAAAGGGUGUGUAGGCGGUGUAGCAAGUUAGAAGUGAAAUACCUAGAGCUUAACUCAGGUGCUGCUUCUAAAACUGCUAUACUUGAGUGCAGUAGAGGAAAGUGGAAUUCCUAGUGUAGCGGUGGAAUGCGUAGAUAUUAGGAGGAACAUCAGUGGCGAAGGCGACUUUCUGGACUGUAACUGACGCUGAGGCACGAAAGUGUGGGGAGCAAACAGGAUUAGAUACCCGAGUAGUC
This 444-nucleotide ribosomal RNA is filed under the name uncultured bacterium. Its description in RNAcentral is "partial 16S ribosomal RNA". It matches the Rfam family "Bacterial small subunit ribosomal RNA", at positions 338 to 795 of the family's 1533-position model. The record is from RNAcentral.